AAAAUCCCCAUAUUGCAUUUUACUUAAUGGUAUAACGGUUUAAGGGUGAAAAAAAUGGUUGGAGGAGGGAAUGGAGGAGCAAAACCUAAGAAAACAAGACAACAGAUCACAUUGUCUUCCAGACACCUUUGAGUUCAAUCCACCAGGAAAACUCUUAGAUAAGAAUAGGGGUUAUUUCUUCCCUCUCUGUACCAGUGUGUGUCCCAGAUCCAAACCCCAAUUCCCAGGCAAGGCACAUGAUUGCUGGUGGGGAUGGAGUCCACCUUCUGAAAGCAGUUUUAAAUUUGUUUCCGUACCGUGUUUCUUUUCUCUCUUUUUAUCCCCAUCAACUGCACGUGGGGAUUUCCACUCUAUUAGGUCAUCAGCUGACACUGAGUGUAUUUUAUUCACCAAAGAAUGAAUAAUGCUCUGGGAAGACACCCUGAUUUUGUGGCUGAGCAGCGGCAUCCGACCACACCAAGGUCCUUCUAGCACUGACCCACUAUAUUCUCAGAUGGAGGCCUCUUCCUUUUCCUGUUGCUGUCCUCCAGCAAGCAUCACUUGGGUCUUGAGGGACCUAAUCAAGUGGUGUUCCUGCUCAGUGCACCCUCUUUAUGCCCCAAAUGGGCAUAUUCCCUGAAAAUGUUGCUAUUUGCCUUCCCCAUGGAACCGGGCCAGCUGGACCCUAUCAGUGUUCCCGGUGCAGCUCUUCUUGAAAGACUAGAGAGCCUCCAAACCAGCCUCAAGGUGCUGGCUUCCUCUCACUACUCUGCUGCCUGCAAUCCCAGCCUUUUCCUGGUCUUCUGAGUUAUAGGACCCUCCCCCCAAAGAUAGAGGCUUCUGAACAUACCCUUCUAGAUGCUUCUACAAGAAGGAAGAGAGAGAAAGACCAUGUCAAAGAGAGGACUACAGUAUUCCUUGAAACUGGGACAAGAUAGAUCUGGCUCUUCCAGGAGUUGCUUAAAAUGAUCUUAUCCUCACAUACCUGGCUAGCAGAGGCAGGUGUCGGCACACCUGGUUCCAGGUAACUCCUGCUGGAUAGCUAGAAGGAGGUCAGGAGAUGUAAUAGUCUUUGUAAUUAACCUGUCUGCCUGAAUAAGUGCCACUUUAUACACUGUGUUCUGGAAAGAAUGUCAAGGUUGACACGAACCCUUAAUUUAUGAUGCGACUAACAUUUUUAUGCUUCGCUUUAUUCCAUGUCGCUCUCUCUUUGACCUGCUUUUGAAAAAGGUUCCUGCAGCCUGGAGAUUAGAAUAUGUUGGAGGCCAGAAUCUAAAGGUUAGAGCAUUGGUGAAUUAAUUUAGUAAAUUUUAGAGCAGUUGCGGACACAUAUCUCAGUCACAUGUCAUCAUAGAGGAUGAUGGUGAAAAUUCUGGACUGGGCGUUUGAGGACAUGAGUUCCUUUCUGUACUAUAAUUUAGUUCAACUGCCCUUUAUUGCUAAAGGCCAAAGAACCGGGCAAUAUGUAACAGGGCAUCAGAUUUGCUCUUGUCCUAAGCCAGCAUCAGUGAGUGUUGGCUGUCUCCUCACCUUCCCUUCUCCUUGGCAGGUGUCCACACCUCUCCCUGGUGCCUGGUGUUGGAGGGGAGGCUGAAUCCUGAUUGGGUUAAACCAGUGAUGGUGCUUUCAGUUCCCACACCAGUGUUUGGUGUAGGCCUAACCAUAGGCAUGUGGCACCUUUCUGGCCGGUGAGUCCUGAAGGAAAGUCCACAGGGAGGUUUCUGGAAAAGAUGUCUGUGCUAUGACCAAAAGCCACAGAUAAAGAUAUGGCAUCUUUUCCCCAUGGUUCAGGUCAGAUUUGAGGCCUGGAAUUGGGGCAGUUAUUUCGAGAGUGCAAGGGGAGCUAUGUGCACGCAUUGAGGGUGGCAGAGCAGAAAGAUGGAAGGAGCCUGGGUCCUUGUGAUGUGACCAAGCCCCCGAAUUAAUGAACUCUGGAGCUGCCCUUCUCUGGACUUCUGCUGUGGUUUAACCCACUCUGCGUUGGGGAGUCUGUUGUUUGCAGCCACCAGAUUGCUAAAUGAUAUACCUCUCACAUCAGAGCUCACCAACCAGAGAGGGACACAAAUGUAACCAGACCUCUUCCAUCGCAACGGUGCUGCUGGGGAGGCAGUGUGGCGAGUCUUUUUGGAACAUGUGUCUUAGCCAGGCUGAGUCUCGCACUUACUGUGCUUUCCUGCGAAAGCCCCUGCACCUCUCUGGCCCGGUUAACUCAGCUGAAAAAUGGAGAUGAUAAGUGUACCUGCUCCAUAAUAUUACUGUGUGGAUGAAAUGGUCAUUAACCACUUAGUAAGUGCUCAAUAAAUAUUAUUAAUUAGGACUAUAAAGCAGACGAGGGCACAGAGGAGGGAGCAGUCCAUGCUAAGGACAUCCAGGAAGGCUUCACCAAGGGGACAGAUAUUGAGUCUUGAAGUGCAAAUGGGGUUUGCAGGUCACGGACUGGGUGGGGAGGACAUUCAGGUGAGCAGUGGGAACAGUGUGCCAGAUCUUUCAGGAGCUCAAUUUCCUUUUCCUUAAAAAACAAAAAACAAAAAACCAACGCUUGGAUGUGUUGGAUUAGCUUAAUCUCCUUUCAUAAAAGAAAUACAUCUCGGGUCCCCUGCCUAGAUUAAACGCCACAUCAGAGACUCUCCAUGGCCCCUUCAUCACUCACUUAAGACUCUUUCAGCCCAUCCUGAAAAAAUUCACUCAGCAAGCCUUCCGCACUGAAGGAGGCGCCUCGCCUUGGCUUUGUUGAUUUCUUUGUUCAUCCGCCCAGAGCCUUCUCCAGUGUGCAAUUAGCAAUGCUGCUCUUCCUCAGCUUCUCGAGGCUCCACACAGCUCAUCAGUCAGAUAGAUGCUGACGCUUAAUUAAGCGUGUAAAGCUUUCUGAUUUCCUCAGAUGAAAGGUGGCCCACGAGUACAUCCCAGGUUUUAUUUUGGUGGCUCCUGCCAAGGGUUAUUAUAAAUAGGACUUAGUGCGAUGUGGCUGAGCUCUUGGGGUGAUAAUGUGUCAAGACCAAUCGUGGCUUCCGACAGCAGAGAUAUUAUCAUAAUGGUUCCAUCAUAGGCGGUGGGUGUUAAUGGAGGUGGCUGUGGAAAAAAAAAAAAAGUACUGCAGGCAGCGAAGCCAGGAUAGAAGUGGCUGCAAGUGAAAUAUCGGCUGCUCCUGGGACCUCCAUCAUAAUCAUUAGCUAUAUUAACCUCGAAGCCAUUUUUUUCUGCCGUCUCUUCUACAACAGACUCAAACUCAAAUAAAAAAUGGAUGCCUUAACUCCAAAUGAAAAUAUAUCCC
Long non-coding RNA from Myotis lucifugus (little brown bat), 3250 nucleotides. RefSeq lists it as uncharacterized. The transcript has 3 exons. The record is from RefSeq and is a predicted model, not a curated record. Lineage: Eukaryota; Metazoa; Chordata; Mammalia; Chiroptera; Vespertilionidae.